This 8939-nucleotide long non-coding RNA is filed under the name Capsicum annuum. Its description in RNAcentral is "long non-coding RNA (CANN_LNC008461)". Lineage: Eukaryota; Viridiplantae; Streptophyta; Magnoliopsida; Solanales; Solanaceae. The record is from RNAcentral.
GGGUUGUGAAAAAGAAAGGAAUUUUCUUUUUCCUUUUUAUUAUAUAUAUAUAUAUAUUAAAAAUAUAUAUAUAAAAAUAGUAAAUAUAUAUUUUUUGUUUUAUUUUAAUAAAUAUAUAAAAAUAAUGUGUGUGGGAUUACUUUUUAAAAAAAAAUUAUAAUUUUUUACAUGGAAAUGACAUGACACUGAUGUGGCACUGAUUUGGCAAUGACGUAGGGCGUGUGUACUUCACUCUUCGUAGUGAGAGUGGUAUGAUUUUUUAAGGGUGGAAAAAAAUUGACUUUAAAGUUAUCAAGGGGGUAAAUAAACGGAAGUUAAGUUUAAGUGCUAAAGUGAGUUUAGAGAACAAGUUCGGGGGGGGGGGAAGAUGUAUUUUCUCCAUUUUUAUAUAUAUAUAUACAUAUAUACAUAUAUAUAUAUAUACAUACAUACAUACCGACCAAGUGGGGUCUGGGAAGGGUAUGUGUACGUUGUUCAUACCACUACCUCAGAGGUGAGGUAGAAAGGCUAUUUCCGAUAGACCUCCAGUUCAAGAUAAAACAAUUUAGACAAGGAAUAGUAAAAGGACAAGAUAAAAUAGAAAUUACCACACCCAAUAAUACCAUAGACAAGUUCAUGAAGUAAUACAACAAACGAUACGACAUUCGAAAAUAAUACUAACCUUCUACCCUAAUCCGUCUUCUCCACAACUUCCUAUCUCAUGUCCUCGGUAAGCUGAAGCUGCUACAAGUAAUGUCUAAUUAUCUCCCUUCAAUAUUUCUUCGGUCUACCUCUACCUCACUUGAAUCUAUCUCUAUCCAAUCUCGCACACCUUCGGGGCAUUCGUUUCCCUCCUCAUCACAUGUCCGAACCAUCUCAACCUCGCUUCCCUCAAAUUGGCUUCCACGAGCCACUCCUACUAAUGCAAGUGCUAAGUCCUCAAGACCUUUUACACGUAGCAAAGCCAAGGAAUUGCAACAACUUCAAUCAUUGUUCAUACAAUUGAAGGCGUGUGAAGGUGUAAUGCAUCCGACCAAAGGAGGUUACUUGCUGAUUUUUGAAGAAGUGCAUUGAAAGAACUACUCUUCUACACCUCAUGGGCGUCUAUUGGGAGGGGUUUGGUGGACUUCUCACACUUAAAGUCCACACUCAAGAGGCGCCUCUUUUAGGGCCUCAUUAAGCGCAUUUGAGUCUUUAUUCAUGUAAUAGUAUAAAUAGGCAUUUUACUUCUCUUUUCAUUAGACUUUUGAUGACAUUGAACCUACUUCUAUAUUGUAGUUUUAGCUUUGUAGAGAGAGAGUAGAAUCUGAAAAUUGGUCCUUGAACACUUGAAAGUUAGGUUUUCAUUUGUCUUGGAUAAUUGGCAUGAAAGGUGUGCUUGGGGAAGAGUGUUUCCCUUGGGUCACCUAAGAGAGUGGUUUGAACUUACAUGGUGAUGUGUGUUUGAAGGUUUGAUACACCUUCUAGUGCUAUUCACUUGUGGAAGUAAGGGUCACUUUACUAUCUUUUCAUCUUAUGCAAUCUUCACCUUCUCCUCCUUUCUUUGUGUGUUGUUUUCUUUAGUUAUGUUUGCUGGAAAUUAUUUGUUGAACCCCAAAUUUCGUGAUUUCUUAGUGUUNNNNNNNNNNNNNNNNNNNNNNNNNNNNNNNNNNNNNNNNNNNNNNNNNNNNNNNNNNNNNNNNNNNNNNNNNNNNNNNNNNNNNNNNNNNNNNNNNNNNNNNNNNNNNNNNNNNNNNNNNNNNNNNNNNNNNNNNNNNNNNNNNNNNNNNNNNNNNNNNNNNNNNNNNNNNNNNNNNNNNNNNNNNNNNNNNNNNNNNNNNNNNNNNNNNNNNNNNNNNNNNNNNNNNNNNNNNNNNNNNNNNNNNNNNNNNNNNNNNNNNNNNNNNNNNNNNNNNNNNNNNNNNNNNNNNNNNNNNNNNNNNNNNNNNNNNNNNNNNNNNNNNNNNNNNNNNNNNNNNNNNNNNNNNNNNNNNNNNNNNNNNNNNNNNNNNNNNNNNNNNNNCUUGAAUAUUCAUCUUGUUCAUCCAUGAUCUUCAUAACUUAGUGAAGAAGAGUAUUCAAGGUUCUUGUUUGAUCCAAAAAAGGAAAGAAAGAGCGUGAAAAAGUUGUUUGUCCAAAAGCAUAUUCAAAGAAUAUUUCAUUCUUCCAAAAAGGGGAGGGGACAAGAGGACAAACAAAGUACGAAUGCAUUUAUUAGGGGGGGACCAAUUCAUUUCUCAUCCAUUUUGAAGCUUGAAAGGGCUUCAAACUUGAACAUUUUCCCUCCCAAAACUGAAUUCUCUUCUUUCCUAAGGGUGUUUAGCCGAAAACAAUUUUUGAAAAAAAUCAAAUUCCAAAGGGUGACCACCAACCACGUAGUGCCAUGUCAUCACUUGUGCUCAACCAAAGUUCGACCCUAAAAUUAGAUUUUUUCUAGUUUCUAGUUUUUUUUUAUUCUAGUUUCUUAUAAGUCAAUUCUAUCCCUAGUUAGUAAGGUAGUAAUUACCUACUAGUUUGGUAAUUAGAUUAGAGUCUGUUGUUUCGCGUCUUCGAUUUUUGUGUGCUUUUCUCUUUUUCAAGUCGUAGUAUUUUUGUUGAUUCAAGUUCGUGCAUCACUUAUUUGAGUCGUUUCAAACGAAGAUCCAUUCCGAUUUAAAGCUUCUCACCUCUCAAGUAACUUGCCAAGUAUUGUCGAUUCUCCAACACUUGUGAAGCCAAGUGUGAGGUGAGGUUGAGUGUGAGUGAGGUGAGGCUUUUGAACUAACUUGUUCAUUUUGUAGGUUAUUUUGCUUGCUGUUUUUGCACUUCGUAGGUACAUUUUCCAUGGAAGCCGAAGGUACUACUUCCCAACCUUUGGGAAAUGAUGUUAUGGGAGCUUUGAUGGCCCAAAUGGAGGCCUUGAGUCGAGAAAUAAAGAUUGGAAAUGAUGCUAUAAGGAGUGAAUUGGAUGCAAUGAAGGGUGAGAUUUCCACUUUUAGUGGAAGGCUUGAUUAUGUUGAAAGUAGGAGGAACUCGCGACCUUCUACUCCUAAUCCCUACCAUGCGUCCUCUAGUGUCUAAGCCAAUAACUCUUCUGUGACAAUUACCCCCGAAACUCUCCACCAAAUGUUUAAUCCUCCAAGAGCUUCACAAAACCAGCCACUAAACCUACCCCAAACCUCUCCUAACCGAACCCUACAAAGACCACUACAUUCCCAAAUGAACCAAGUCCAACAAGAGGGACUUGGAACCCAAACUCCACCACCAAAUACCUCCCCAAAACACCACCUACCAAAUGCCAAAUCCCAUGGACCAAAGACCUUACAAUCCACUAACCUUACCAUCCACCACCUCCAAUACCACAAGUCCAUGCUCCAAAUAACCAAAGUCCAAAUCCACCCCUCCCAAAGACCCCAAAUCCGAAACCCACACCUUCACAUUGAGGAUUAUGGUAGCGGGGAGUAUGAAGGUUAUGAAGUUCCUGAUGGUGUUUGGUUCGAUGAAGAAGAAAGGAAGAUUUGAGCAAAGGGGACCUUAUGGUAGAUUCCGAGGGCAAGAUGCAAGGCAUGGGUAUGGUGAUCAACCAAGAAUCCGAGAUAUUGGCAUUAAUUCAAUCAAGGUUGGCAUUUCGAUCUUCAAGGGAGAAAGUGAUCCUGAGGUUUACUUAGCUUGGGAAUUGUCUUGUGAAAAGUUGUUCCAAGUGAAUGACUUAACCGAAGAGAAGAAAAGUUGUUAUGCCAUUGCACAUUUCGAGGGUUAUGCUAAUACUUGGUGGGAUUACACUAAAAGGUUUGGGAAUGUCUUGAUUGGUGGCCAACCACCCCCUUGGGAAGUCUUGAAAAGAGUAAUGAGAGAGCGGUAUGUCCCGGAACAAUAUAGGCAUGAUCUUCUUGCCAAGCUUUACAAUCUAAGGCAAGGAAGCAAGAGUGUCAUGGCGUAUUAUGACGAAUUUCAGCAACUCACCUUGAAGCUUGAUCAUAGGGGUGAACAUGUGCAACAUGAUGUUAUUUGCUUCAAGGUUGGGUUGAACAAAGACAUAUCCUCCCGUUUGACUCUUCACAAGUUUGAAAUCGUGGUUGAAGUCUUCCAAGCGGCCAUGGAGAUUGAGAAAGAGAACAAACAGAGGUCGACUAACAAGUUCAAAUUCCAACAAGGUUUGGGUUUGGCUAACAACAAAGAGGUAAGUCCUUUGACUUCGGGUUGGAACAAGAACAAAUCUACUUCAUCUUCUUCUUCUUCUCAAGUUCUAAACAAGCAAGUGUCAAACCAACCUCCGAGGAUGGAGGUGAAGCCGAAUACCCUCCCUCCCUCUUCUAAGGGUUUUCAAUAUUUUAAGUGUCAUGGUUGGGGGCAUAGAGCAAAUGAAUGUCCGAAUUGAAGAAAUGUGAUUCUAAGAGAGGGAAAGAUAUACUACUUAGGAGAAGAGUUGAGGGAUGAAUCGAAAAAUGGAGGUGAGGUUGAACCUCAAGAUGGAGAGCCUUGUGAUAGGAAACCCGAGGUCCUAUGUGAUGAUUGUGAGGAAGAAGACACUUGGCCACAAGAUGGAGAGUGUCAAGUUCCUAAUUAUGUAGUGAGGAGGGCUAUGGUGAGUAAGGCACUUGAAGAUCNNNNNNNNNNNNNNNNNNNNNNNNNNNNNNNNNNNNNNNNNNNNAGGGGUGUGUACUAUGGUGAUUGAUAGUGGGAGUUGCACAAACGUUGCUAGUUCUACAAUGGUGGACUUCUUGAAAAUUCCUACCAUUCCUCAUGCUAAUCCCUGCAAACUACAAUGGAUAAAAAUGAAUGUGGUGAGUUAAAAGUGACACGACAAUGCAUGAUCAAGUUCAAGGUAGGAAACUACCAAGAUGAAGUUUGUUGUGAUGUUAUUCCGAUGCAAGCGUGCCAUUUGCUACUUGGUAGACCAUGGCAAUAUGAUAAAUCUACCAAGCAUGAUGGAAGGUUGAACACUUACUCUCUUGUGCAUGGUGGAAAGAAGUUCACAUUACACCCACUUUUACCUUCUCAAGUGAAUGAGUUGCAUCAAAAGUUAAGAGAGUUGAAAGAAAAGGGAAGCAAAAGACUAGAACCCGAAAAGAGGCAAAAGGAGGUAGUUUCGGGGUCUACCUCUUCCAAGGGAGAAGUUGCUGAUCCUAAGGCUCAAAAGGGUCAAGGACCCCUGGUUAUGUUGGCUAGGAGGAAGGAUUUGUUCAAGGAACAAGACAUGAACACUCCUAUGCUCCUCCUAGCUCAUGCUCUUAAUACUAACUUCUCUUCUUCUUCUUUUUGUACUUUUCCUUCUUCUCUUCCACCUUCUAUUUCACUUGUUUUGCGGGAGUUUGAUGAUGUAUUCCCACAAGAAUUACCACAAGGAUUGCCCCCGAUUCAGGGAAUUGAGCACCAAAUUGAUGUGGUGCCGGGUUCACAACUUCCAAACAAAUCGGCUUAUAGGAGCAAUCCCACGGACACUAAGGAGCUUAAAAAGACAAGUUGAGGAGCUUCUCAACAAAGGCUACAUUAAAGAAAGUUUGAGUCCGUGUGCUGUCCUGGUGCUUUUGGUGCCAAAGAAAGACGAAACUUGGCGCAUGUGCGUCGAUUGUAGAGCCAUCAACAAAAUCACUAUUAAGGUAUCGUCAUCCUAUCCCUAGGCUAGAUGAUAUGUUAGAUGAGCUCCAUAGUGCUUGUGUGUUUUCUAAAGUCGAUCUUAGGGUGGCUACUACCAGAUUCGCAUACAACCCGGUGAUGAGUGGAAGACCGCAUUCAAGACCAAAUUCGGUCUAUAUGAGUGGCUGGUCAUGCCCUUUGGUCUUACCAAUGCUCCUAGCACCUUUAUGAGGCUAAUGAAUUAUGUAAUGAAGCCUUAUAUUGGAAAGUUUGUGGUGGUUUACUUUGAUGUCGUGUUGGUAUAUAGUAAAUCUAUUGAUGAUCAUGUGAUGCAUUUGAGGUGUGUGUUUGAUGUGCUCCGAAAGGAGAAGUUGUAUGCCAACAUAGAGAAUUGUUCUUUUUGUGUUGAUAAAGUGGUUUUCUUAGGUUUUGUUGUGAGCUCAAGGGGUGUGGAAGUGGAUGAAUCCAAGAUAGACUAUACGAAGUUGGCCGACCCUUAAGACUAUUGGAGAAAUUCGAAGUUUUCAUGGGUUGGUGAGCUUUUAUAGGAGGUUUGUCAAGGGUUUUAGCUCCAUAGCAGCCCCCUUGACCGAGGUUAUUAGAAAGGACCAACCCUUUAAGUGGGGUAAUGAGCAAGCUAAGGCUUUUGAAGCCUUGAAAGCUACGCUCAUCUCGACACCUUUGUUGCAAUUGCCCGAUCUUGAUAAGAUGUUUGAAUUUGAGUGUGAUGCUAAUAAGGUUGGUAUUGGGGCUGUUUUGAUGCAAGAAGGCAAGCCCGUUGCUUAUUUUAGUGAAAAGCUCAAAGGGGCAACUCUUAAUUAUUCGACUUAUGAUUUGGAGUUGUACGCCCUUGUUAGAGCUUUAGGCAAUUAACAACAUUAUUUGUGGCCUAAGGAGUUUGUGAUACGAACGGAUCAUGAAUCGUUGAAACACCUUAAGAGCCAAGACAAGUUGAAUAGGCGUCAUGCUAAGUGGAUUGAGUUUAUUGAGACUUUCCCUUAUGUAAUUCAUUACAAGAAGGGGAAGGAAAUUGUUGUUGCCGAUGCAUUGUCUAGAAAGCAUUUGCUUGUUGCUACCUUGUCUUCGAAGUUGAUGGGAUUUGAGAGCUUGUGGAUGUUGUAUCCCGAGGAUCCUACCUUUGCUCCUAUUUUUAGGGAAUGUGAAGAGUGGGGAAGGGACCGAUGGCUUAAAGAGAAUGGCCAUUCCUUCUACUCUCGAUUUGAUGGUUAUUUGUUCAAAGGGAGGAGGUUGUGUGUUCCUUCUAGUUCAUGGAGGGAACUGUUUGUGAGAGAGGCACAUGAUGGUGGCGUUAUGGGGCAUUUUGGGGUUGACAAGACCCUCGGUAUCUUAGAGGAGCAAUUCUAUUAGCCCAAAAUGCGCAAGGAUGUUGCUAAAGUUUGUGGCCAAUGUAUGGAUUGUCGGAGUGCGAAAUCUCGCCUCCUACCUCAAGGAUUGUACACCCCACUUCCCACUCCCCUUAGGCCUUGGUUAGAUAUAUCCAUGGACUUUGUUUUGGGGCUGCCAAGGACUAGAAAGGGUCGAGAUAGUAUUUUUGUUGUUGUUGAUAGAUUCUCCAAAAUGGCUCAUAUCAUUCCAUGUGCCAAAACCGAGGAUGCUCCUAGUGUAGCUUCAUUAUUUGUUGAACAUGUUGUAAAGCUUCACGGGAUCCCAAAGACUAUUGUGAGUGAUAGGGACUCAAAGUUCCUAAGUCUCUUUUGGAAGUCUAUGUAGGGUAGGCUUGGAACGAAGUUGCUUUUCUCCACGUCUUGCCACCCACAAACCGAUGGCCAAACGGAGGUAGUAAAUAGAACCUUAGGGUGUAUGCUACGUUCUAUGGUUAAAGGUAAAAUGAAUUCAUGGGAAGAUCACCUACCCUUGGUGGAAUUUGCAUACAAUCGGAUAAUACAUUCCAAGUCCGGGAAUGACUCCCUUUGAGUGUUUUUAUGGCAUGAAUCCCCUUACUCUUUUGGAUCUCACUCCUUUGUCUAGUGAUCUUGUGACAAGUUUAGAUGGAUGCAAAAGAGUCGAGACAAUGAAGAAAAUGCAUGAGGAGGUGCGGAUCAAGCUUGAAAAGAAAAACCAAGAGGUUGCAAAAAGGGUGAACAAAGGUAGAAGAAAGCUUGUGCUUGAACCCGGAGGUUGGGUAUGGGUACACUUAAGGAAGGAGCGGUUCCCGAAUCAAAGGAAAGCUAAGCUUAUGCCCCGGGGAGAUGGACCCUUCCAAGUGCUUAAAAGGAUCAAAGGUAAUGCUUACCAAAUAGAUCUACCUUCGGAUUAUCAAGUACAUUCCACUUUCAAUAUUUGUGAUCUAUCACCCGUGGACAUUCUUGAUAUUGAUGAAGCCGCAAGUUUGAGGACAAAUUCUCUUCAAGAUGGAGAGGAUGAUGCAAGUGCUAAAUCCUUACGACCUUUUACACGUAGCAAAGCCAAGGAAUUGCAACAACUUCAAUCAUUGUUCAUACAAUUGAAGGCGUGUGAAGGUGUAAUGCAUCCGACCAAAGGAGGUUACUUGCUGACUUUUGAAGAAGUGCAUUGAAAGAACUACUCUUCUACACCUCAUGGGCGUCUAUUGGGAGGGGUUUGGUGGACUUCUCACACUUAAAGUCCACACUCAAGAGGCGCCUCUUUUAGGGCCUCAUUAAGAGCAUUUGAGUCUUUAUUCAUGUAAUAGUAUAAAUAGGCAUUUUACUUCUCUUUUCAUUAGACUUUUGAAGAAAGGUGUGCUUGGGGAAGAGUGUUUCCUUUGGGUCACCUAAGAGAGUGGUUUGAACUUACAUGGUGAUGUGUGUUUGAAGGUUUGAUACACCUUCUAGUGCUAUUCACUUGUGGAAGUAAGGGUCACUUUACUAUCUUUUCAUCUUAUGCAAUCUUCACCUUCUCCCCUUUUCUUUGUGUGUUGUUUUCUUUAGUUAUGUUUGCUGGAAAUUAUUUGUUGAACCCCAAAUUUCGUGAUUUCUUAGUGUUAGGCUAUCACCUACCUUAUCUCGAAUGAACUUAUUUCUAAUCCUACGUUUUCUAGUACUGUUACGAUCCAUUGCAAAGUCCCACAUCGGUAUUACAAAGUAUUGUUGUGGGCUAUUUAUAGCCUUGGGCUCUCCCACCUUAUUAGCUAGCUUUUGGGCUGCGGUUCUCCUAAGGUUGUAACAGUGGUAUCAGAGCCACCCAUCACCCUUCGCGCCCACCGUGCUUGGGAUGGUGACGUCGGUAUGGCAAUGUUCGACUGGGGCUAGCAAUGUUUAGCGCACAGCCAUCGAGGCACCUGGGCACCUGACUUGAAAAGGGCUGCCUGGGAAAGAGCUACUGAUACAAGAUUGACAAGGAAGACACUAACACACACUAAAACAGUCCAUGAUUUGAAGAACCGAGGACCCCUUUUGGUGACCCCUCUCGGAUUCACUACACAAUAACAAUACAAACACGAUAAC